AUUUAGGGGGAGGGGACGGGGAGGUGGGGUGGUUUAGUCGUUUGUUGGAAACUGACGUGUGGGUGAGCUGGGGUCACGGAUCGGAAACUGGGAACUCCUUGGGUAGAUCGCGGAUACUGUUAACGCUGCAGCCGACCUCCAAUUCCUGUUUGAGACACCAAAGCCCAGGAUACAAUGUUGCAGCUUCAUGAAAACAGCUUGCAUCAGUUGACUGGCCAGAAAGUUCCUGCGAAGUUUGCUAUUGACGCGGUGCAAGCAUGAAGAUGUGGACCCCUGGAGUGUAGGCUGGCGUCUGUGGGACGUGCUAAAGUUGCAGCUUGCAGCGGAGGCUGAGAACCAGUCAUGUGACCCGGCUGGGUCGAACCAGGCAGAGCGUGAGCACGUGUCCGGGAUUCCAGGAGAUCUCGUCACCCAGGCAAAAAUAAAAAAAUGGCUCCACUGGGACAGCAGCAGAUGCCACGUGCUGAGAAGCAGCACCGAUGGGCCGUCGCGAGUGCUGGGUCUUAGUGAAGAUGCCACUGGGUGAAAGAAGAAGGUGGAUUUGAGACCAGAUGGUUGCAUGAUCAGAGCCCAUGAGCAGCGCUGCCAUCAUACUCCUCGGCGAAUGCGAAAAUAAGCUUCAUCCACGAGAAUCGGCUAAUAAAGAGAGAGAGCGAGAUGCGCUCCUGCGUGAAAUGCCCGGCUGUUACUGACCUUUUCGCGUAUUUCUGCAGGUCGCAGUUCUGCUAACGAGACGUUUAUGUGGGAGUUCGUCCGGCGACGUUUUCUUCCGCGCCGCUUUCUGUCGGCACGCUCGGCUGCCCUUUCAGUAUUUGUUGAAUCUCCUGGGCUUUUGGGCCUCGCUGUCACGGUGGUGGUGCUGCGUGGGUCGGUGCCCUCUGUGGAAACGCCAACCCGGGGCACACCUGCAGGGCAGCUUCCCAUAAAACCGAGGGUGUUCCCCGCCUCCAGAACGUGAAGGAUAACAAAAUGUUAAGCGAUUCCCACCGCUCAGGCAUCCCAAUGAAAAGUAAACAAGAAGAUGACUAAGGUGGACCUGGAGGGAGGUUUGCCUCAUACCAUUCAUGUGUGAGUGGGUACAGGUAUGUGGCAGUUCGUUCAUUCAUGACUUAUCUUUUUUUUUUCUCUGAAAUGUAGAGUAGGUCAGCCGCACCUCAGCAGUGACAGGUCUUGCCCGGUUGCAUAAUAACUUCAUUUCUAUGUCUGUUAUGUAAUUAUCUGUUGAUGUAAGUAAUCGGAUUGAACACUCGGCCUGUAUGUACUGAGGGAAAGAAAUGUUCAUGAGGAAUGAAAAAAGCAAAGAUUUGUUAUUCCGUGUUCUUUUUGCUUUUGUUUUUGUAUACAUCAUGUUGAAAGGUAAUUCUGUGAUUCAGAGUAACUGUCUCCUGGGAAAUCACUGAGAACCAUCUGGUUAUGCCUGAAAGGAAAUGCCCUUAUAGUGCACGGGAUGUGUGCUACUUGGGAAGCGAACAAAAGCAUGGAAACCAAUGGUGCACCAACAUUGCCAUCAUUGACAGUCUCCUGUGACGCUGGCAAAUUCCAGAAGUUGCACGAGGUCUCCUUCGGAAGUCAUGCUUACGUUAUUCGGCGGACUAAACCAAACACGCACAUACCGUGGAUCUGAAUUUUUCACAUACCGUUUGUGUCAUGUGACAUAGCAUAGUUUAUGUCACGUGACAUGCUUUUCUAAAUGUCUUUUAUAUAUGUCUUGUGGUUCUCUGGUCCCCAGCAUCCCUAUUAAUUUCACAAAAGAGGUCACUGUCUUGCAUGUUAUGUAUUUGUUUUAGCUUUGAGGAAAGGGAGUGUGGUCAUGCAAGCCGAAGGUAGUUUGUCACUGAUGGGAAAGUGUGUCUCGUCGUGUCACGUUUAGCCAUGGCCCAAAUUGCCCAGGAGAUCUGGCACCCCGCAGAUUGGAGUGGUGUGGGAUCUUGGGGUUUGGGCCGGGCUCCACUUCCCUGGGGCUCCCCUUGUGGAUCGGGUGCGACCGGCCCCCCCAGGCUGCGAGAGGACAGCUUCGCUCCGGUCCGUGUGCCCACUUUGUUAAAUAAUAUGCUGACUCACA
Long non-coding RNA from Brienomyrus brachyistius, 2062 nucleotides. RefSeq lists it as uncharacterized. NCBI's taxonomy places the organism in Eukaryota, Metazoa, Chordata, Actinopteri, Osteoglossiformes, Mormyridae. The transcript has 5 exons. The record is from RefSeq and is a predicted model, not a curated record.